GAUUACGGAGUGGGGUUAAAAUGUCAUUUCGGUUGGUUUGUCCUUCGGGGCAUUCUGGUCAACUUGGCUUUUACUCACUGUUGUCAUUGUCUUUGCCCAAGGUAAUUGCCUUGUGUGCAUGGCAUUGACCUUCUAUUUUAUGGUAAUGUGGCAUCUUUCGGGGUGCUCUCAUUCCAUAUAGUUUACUUUGAAAAAAUUAAGGUGUUUAAAGCAGGCGAAAAGGCUUCGGAAUAUAUUAGCAUGGGAUAAUAGAAUACGAUCUAGGUCGUAAUUUGUUGGUUUCUACGGCUUAAGUAAUGAUUGACAGGGAUAGUUGGGGUCGCUCGUAUUGAGUUGUCAGAGGUGAAAUUCUAAGAUUAACUCAAGACGAACUAAUGCGAAAGCAUUCGGCAAGGAUGUUUUCAUUAAUCAAGAACGAAAGUUGGGGGAUCGAAGAUGAUCAGAUACCGUCGUAGUCUCAACUGUCAACUAUGUCGACCGAGGAUCCGGUAGCGUUACAUGGAUGACCUUCCGGGCACUCUGUGAGAAAUCAUAAGUAU
RNAcentral lists this ribosomal RNA (539 nucleotides) under Cryptodifflugia operculata. RNAcentral's name for it is "bacterial SSU rRNA". It matches the Rfam family "Eukaryotic small subunit ribosomal RNA", at positions 614 to 1106 of the family's 1831-position model. Lineage: Eukaryota; Tubulinea; Elardia; Arcellinida; Cryptodifflugiidae. The record is from RNAcentral.